GUAGUCUGCAACUCGACUACAUGAAGCUGGAAUCGCUAGUAAUCGCAGAUCAGAAUGCUGCGGUGAAUACGUUCCCGGGUCUUGUACACACCGCCCGUCACACCAUGGGAGUCGGAAAUGCCCGAAGCCGGUGACCAAACCAAUAAGGAAGGAGCCGUCGAAGGCAGGUCUGAUAACUGGGGUGAAGUCGUAACAAGGUAUC
This 202-nucleotide ribosomal RNA is filed under the name uncultured bacterium. Its description in RNAcentral is "partial 16S ribosomal RNA". It matches the Rfam family "Bacterial small subunit ribosomal RNA", at positions 1300 to 1500 of the family's 1533-position model. The record is from RNAcentral.